This 465-nucleotide ribosomal RNA is filed under the name uncultured bacterium. Its description in RNAcentral is "partial 16S ribosomal RNA". It matches the Rfam family "Bacterial small subunit ribosomal RNA", at positions 338 to 795 of the family's 1533-position model. The record is from RNAcentral.
CCUACGGGUGGCAGCAGUGGGGAAUAUUGCGCAAUGGGCGAAAGCCUGACGCAGCGACGCCGCGUGAGGGAUGAAGGUCUUCGGAUCGUAAACCUCUGUCAGCAGGGAAGAACGGUCACUGUGCUAAUCAGCAGUGAAUUGACGGUACCUGCAAAGGAAGCACCGGCUAACUCCGGGCCAGCAGCCGCGGUAAUACGGAGGGUGCGAGCGUUAAUCGGAAUUACUGGGCGUAAAGCGCUCGUAGGAGGUAUGUCAAGUCAAGGGUGAAAUCCCCGCGCUCAACGUGGGAACUGACUUUGAAACUGGCAAACUGGAGUGUGUGAGAGGAUAGUGGAAUUCCAGGUGUAGGAGGGAAAGCCGUAGAUAUCUGGAGGAACAUCAGUGGCGAAGGCGACUAUCUGGCACAUAACUGACGCUGAGGAGCGAAAGCGUGGGUAGCAAACAGGAUUAGAUACCCUUGUAGUC